AUACGGAGAGUGCAAGCGUUAUUCGGAAUCACUGGGCGUAAAGGACGCGUAGGCGGGUUGGCAAGUCAGAUGUGAAAUCCUACAGCUUAACUGUAGAACUGCAUUUGAAACUGCUAACCUAGAGUAUGGGAGGGGGAGAUGGAAUUAGUGGUGUAGGGGUAAAAUCCGUAGAUAUCACUAGGAAUACCGAAAGCGAAGGCGAUCUCCUGGAACAUAACUGACGCUAAGGCGUGAAAGCGUGGGGAGCAAACAGGAUUAGAAACCCUAGUAGUCC
Molecule: ribosomal RNA, 274 nt
Filed under: uncultured bacterium
Lineage: Bacteria
Description: partial 16S ribosomal RNA
Rfam family: Bacterial small subunit ribosomal RNA
Source: RNAcentral